GCUUCUUUGCCAGAAAACAAACCUUCAAUCGAUCGACCAAUCGAGCAUGUCUUCAAUGGAAACUGAGGUUUGUAAAUUAUUUUUAUUGAUUACAUCGCAACUGAUUUCAGCUGUUUAAAAAACAUCUAAUGAUUCUUAUAUUUGUUAAAUAAAGAUAAAAAAAUCGAUCUGAAUGAUUCAGAUUAGAUUGAAUAUAUAUUUAUUUGAAAGUACAGAAACCAUGGACGACAGAGUUGAGCGUGAGAAUGGACUGCAAUGGAUGUGUACAAAGGAUGAGAAGAGCUCUCAAUGGAGUAAAAGGUGUUCACGAUAUUCAAAUCGACAUGCCACAACAAAAGAUAACGGUUGUCGGAAAAGCAGAUCCAGAGAAGAUGGUUAAAGCUAUCAAGAAAACAAAAAAAAUAGCAACUAUUUCCUCACACAUAGACAACUCCGAAGAACCUGCUGCCCCGCCGUCUCCUGAUACAGACCCUCCUCCUCCGGCACCUGCUGAAGAACCUCCUGCUACAGAAGAAGAAACUCCACCGGCUCCUGAAGAAGCAAAGUCAGAAGAGAAUCCACCUCCACCUCCACAGGAGGAGAUACGUGGAGAGAUUCCGAUGGUGCACCCUUACCCACACCAAUGGAAUAAUUACGUGCAAGAUCAGUUUCCUUAUCAUGAUAAUUACUAUCUCACACCAAUGCAUAGUUACAAUAAUUCUGAACCGCCCUCUUCUGCAAAGAUUCUGGUAGUAGCUCCGGGAAGCUUUCAUCUUACAAAUGAAUAUUAUGACCAUCAGCAGCAGAAUUACGGCGGAGGGACUGAGGAUAACAUCAAUUCUAUCUUCAGUGAUGAGAACCCAAAUGCUUGUAUUAUUUUUUGAGAGAUUACUAAAAUAAUACCAUGGAGUGUGCUUAAUAACACAUAUAUAUUAAUUCACAUAUUAUAUUAUAUGUAAGAGCUCUAAAUCUAUUAAGCAUAUUAAUUCUCAAUUGCAUCAUUAUCAAAG
RNAcentral lists this long non-coding RNA (989 nucleotides) under Zostera marina. Its description in RNAcentral is "long non-coding RNA (ZMAR_LNC002894)". The record is from RNAcentral. Lineage: Eukaryota; Viridiplantae; Streptophyta; Magnoliopsida; Alismatales; Zosteraceae.